RNAcentral lists this transfer RNA (88 nucleotides) under Candidatus Fermentithermobacillaceae bacterium. RNAcentral's name for it is "tRNA-Leu". It matches the Rfam family "tRNA". From Rfam's summary of the family: Transfer RNA (tRNA) molecules are approximately 80 nucleotides in length. Their secondary structure includes four short double-helical elements and three loops (D, anti-codon, and T loops). Lineage: Bacteria; Bacillati; Bacillota; Candidatus Fermentithermobacillia; Candidatus Fermentithermobacillales; Candidatus Fermentithermobacillaceae. The record is from RNAcentral.
GCCGGGAUGAUGGAAUUGGCAGUCAUGCGCGACUCAAAAUCGCGUGCGGUAGCCCCGCGUGUGGGUUCGACUCCCACUCCCGGCACCA